GAUGAACGCUGGCGGCGUGCUUAACACAUGCAAGUCGAACGAAGCAUUUGCGACAGAUUUUUUCGGAAUGAAGUUGCUUAUGACUGAGUGGCGGACGGGUGAGUAACGCGUGGGUAACCUGCCUUGUACUGGGGGAUAGCAGCUGGAAACGGCUGGUAAUACCGCAUAAGCGCACAAUGUUGCAUGACAUGGUGUGAAAAACUCCGGUGGUAUAAGAUGGGCCCGCGUCUGAUUAGCUAGUUGGUGAGAUAACAGCCCACCAAGGCGACGAUCAGUAGCCGACCUGAGAGGGUGACCGGCCACAUUGGGACUGAGACACGGCCCAGACUCCUACGGGAGGCAGCAGUGGGGAAUAUUGCACAAUGGAGGAAACUCUGAUGCAGCGACGCCGCGUGAGUGAAGAAGUAAUUCGUUAUGUAAAGCUCUAUCAGCAGGGAAGAUAGUGACGGUACCUGACUAAGAAGCUCCGGCUAAAUACGUG
RNAcentral lists this ribosomal RNA (481 nucleotides) under uncultured bacterium. RNAcentral's name for it is "partial 16S ribosomal RNA". It matches the Rfam family "Bacterial small subunit ribosomal RNA", at positions 28 to 507 of the family's 1533-position model. The record is from RNAcentral.